UGUAAAUUCUCAAGCACCAAGCAACUGCUUCCCCAGGAAAAUAGUUGCUUAUAGCUCGUUGUUGCUUUUUCCCUUCAUGUUACAUAUGAACACACAAUUGAAUAUUUGAGAGAUGCCUUGCUUCAUGUUACGUAGCUCUUUUUCACUUUUUGGACGGCUCUCUAUCUUUUCUAUUACUUUUGUCAUCAAAUUACAAGCUUUCCACAUUGAUUCCUUGUGUUUUCCAUCUUCUCCUUCCUAUAAAUCCGACGGUUCAACUGGAGUUAGCCCAUCAAGUUGGUUCUUCUACAAGAGAAAAACCAACCUUGAUAGGAAAUCAAUAGUUACUUGAGUCUCACCAGCAUGGCUACAGAUGCCUGCAGUAGUACAGCCAGCCAAAACUCGUCACAGAGAGUAUUAGCCAUGGUGUUUGCUCUAGCAUCAGCAGUGGUCCUGUCACCAUUGUAUGCUAAGAGAAAAAAUGAUCAUACGCGUUAUUUUAAUUAUGAGACAAAAUGGAGCUCUGGCUUCGUUCUUCCAAUGGUGCUUGCUGGACUCAUAAUUGCCAUCAGGACCACUUCCUCUUCCAUGUCAGCCCGAAGAGUUUCUAGGGCUUCCUUUAUUCCAUCUCCAGAUCCCUCUUGGGUGCUUAGAAUUGGGAGCUCAUCUUGGGGACUCGCUGGAGUCUUGGUGAUGCUUAUGCUUGUGCUAUCAUGGCAAGACUCUGUUCAAGAAUUCUUCUGGAGAUAAAGGAAAGGAAACCUACCUUUUUCUUUUAGUAUAGACUAUAUACGUUUGCGAUUUCCAUUGAUUGAUCAUAAAAAAAAAAAGAAAAAAAAAAGUAAUUGUUUGCCCCCACAUGUUGCCGAGCAUGAGGACGGCCAUUAAAGUACCUGGCUGGAAGAAUUAAAGGUAUCAUUUUAAAUUUUAUAUAUCAUAAAAAAGAAAUGCAUCAUCGUCCCCCUGACCCCUCACUCAUUCAAAGCAUGAAUGGCAUCGCAUGCAUCUCCAGAUCUCCUUCGAGUUAGGAUCCUCAAAAUCGGGCAGCUCGGCCCUAUUCAACUAUCUGAUGAACUAUUUGAUCAAAUAAUAGAACAGUUGUGAGGAUACUUGGGGUGAGCUUUUGAAUUACUUACAUUAUUCAAGUGAAAUUGGGUAAAGAAGUUUUUUAAAAAUAAAAUAAAAAAUGAAUUCAGAUAGUUAUAAGAUAAGCUGAUGGUACUGUGUUUGAAUCUUUUUUUUCCAUUUCAUGCUAAUAUUUUUUGUAUUUUUAUUCUUCAUCAAAUCUUAAUUACAUAAAUUAGGUAAAUUUCUAUUUGUUUUUGUAGUUGAAAAGUAUUAAUUUUUUAUUUAAAAUUAUUGUUUUUAGUUUUAUGUCGUUUUAAUAUAUCAAAAUGAUAUUUUAAAAAAUAAAAAAUAUUAUUUUAAUAUAUUUAUAAAUAAAAAAAAUACUAAAUAAGCUAAAAAUCUUUCUCCAAUUCAAAAUCAGUCGCUCUCUUCACUCUCUGCUUUUCUUUGCUCAUCCUAUCAACUUUUUAUUUCUUCUUUUUCUUCUUCUUUUUUUCAAUUUAUUACUGCAAAUUGAUUCGGAUAAUUAUUGCCCGGGUUCCCGGCCUCACCUACCCUUGUGGUCAUGACUCAGGCCAUCGCUCACACUCCUGCCAGCCGCCGGGUUUUACUAGAGUAAGCCAGAAAUAGGAACAAAAUCCCAUUGCCGAAGUCAAUAGCGGGGCCUGGUAUCUCUCUCCCGCCUGAGCAGGACACGUUGAUCAGUCCCAAUCUAUCAACUUGCUAUCCCACAGAAGCAACCUUCCCAGGCAGUAGAAGAAACAGAGGAUGAAGAAAGUGCUGGUCCCAACCCAUCUCAAGAACAGAAGACGGACCCCCCACAGCUUACUGGUCCCCAAAGAGUAUCUUUUCCUCUCAUCAAACGUCCCAAGUGAGAAUCUUAUCUUCUGCCAAUAUAGGAUUUCAGGAUAUUUUGUUGACCUGAGAAGAAUGGCCUUCUGUGGAAAGGAAUUAAGAUAGAAGAAGCAUCGAUCCAGAAGAAAGGAGGUGAAAAUCAUAGAAAAUUUGAGUUUUUUUAUUGGUGUACUUGAAUGCUGUGUAUUGGAGCAUUGUAAUCUUUAUGAAAAUUCACCCGCCAGGCAGUGUCUUUUCCUA
Molecule: long non-coding RNA, 2142 nt
Organism: Populus nigra (black poplar)
Lineage: Eukaryota; Viridiplantae; Streptophyta; Magnoliopsida; Malpighiales; Salicaceae
Exons: 2
Source: RefSeq, a predicted model, not a curated record